Enhydra lutris kenyoni (northern sea otter) is the source of this 1028-nucleotide RNA transcript. It is a transcript of the gene named gem-associated protein 8 pseudogene, with no coding region annotated. The transcript has 2 exons. The record is from RefSeq and is a predicted model, not a curated record. Lineage: Eukaryota; Metazoa; Chordata; Mammalia; Carnivora; Mustelidae.
AUGUACUUUAAUUCAUUUGACUUCACGGCAGUGCUGGAGAUGGCUACUUUCCAUAUAGGCAUCUUCCAGGUCCCUGCUCGCCCACCGCCCGAGAUCCGCGAGCUACGAGCCGACGAGUUCCACCAUCCCAUUAGGAGGAAAGCUGCUGUUCAGUCCAUGAAGACGUGUACCGCAGGAGUAAGAGGCACUCCCAAAGAGUUUCAGCGCCCACUUGGACUUCCACAACCAGAGAUGACAGCAAAGGUGGCGUCCUGGAAAGCCGCUGAGCCUUGGUCUUUUCAUCCAGUCUAUGCAAGAAGGUCCGGGCAGCAUCCAGCAGCCCGCCCCAGAGAACACCAAGCUUGGCCUGCCGAGGAGGAGGAGGAGGCGGCGGAGUCCGAGUCAGACGGGGGUGUGGAGUGCGACCUGAGCAACAUGGAGAUCACAGAGGAGCUGCGCCAGUACUUCGCCCAGACCGAGGCGCACCGGGAAGAGCGACGGCGGCAGCAGCAGCUGGACGCCCAGCGCCUGGACGACUACGUGAACGCCGACCACGACCUGUACUACAGCACCCACCGCUCAGUGCAACCCCCCUCCGAGAGGCCCGGCGAGCGGCGCCAGGCCGAGAUGAAGCGCUUGUAUGGGGACAGCGCCGCGAAGAUCCAGGCCAUGGAGGCCGCCGUGCAGCUGAGCUUCGACAAGCACUGUGACAGGAAGCAGCCCAAGUACUGGCCGGUCAUCCCGCUUAAGUUCUGAGCCCGGGGCGCCACGUACCCAGCCAUCACCCCCUUCCUUUUGGAUUCACUGAAUCUCUCCUGUGCAUCUUCUCAGGGAAAUUUCUCUUAUACUGAGAAAUCAGCAUGUCACCAAAGUCCCAGGGGGCCCGUCUCAGGGCUGGAUGUAACAUGUUGGCCACUUGAAGUCAGCAAGGUGUGUGCUGUUGCCAACAUGAAAGAUUUUCUGUUGAUCCGAAAUGAUAAUUUCAUGUAUCUCAUGCUUUCAUGUAUAUCACUGAUACUCUCCAGUUCAUUAAAGUCCUCACUUAGAGA